UGGGUUUUAGCUCAGUGGUAGAGUGCUCACCUAGCAUGUGGGAGGCCCUGGGUUUGAUCCUCAGUACCACAU
Ictidomys tridecemlineatus (thirteen-lined ground squirrel) is the source of this 72-nucleotide non-coding RNA. The record is from Rfam. Lineage: Eukaryota; Metazoa; Chordata; Mammalia; Rodentia; Sciuridae.